RNAcentral lists this transfer RNA (87 nucleotides) under Christensenellaceae bacterium. Its description in RNAcentral is "tRNA-Leu". It matches the Rfam family "tRNA". From Rfam's summary of the family: Transfer RNA (tRNA) molecules are approximately 80 nucleotides in length. Their secondary structure includes four short double-helical elements and three loops (D, anti-codon, and T loops). Further hydrogen bonds mediate the characteristic L-shaped molecular structure. tRNAs have two regions of fundamental functional importance: the anti-codon, which is responsible for specific mRNA codon recognition, and the 3' end, to which the tRNAs corresponding amino acid is attached (by aminoacyl-tRNA synthetases). tRNAs cope with the degeneracy of the genetic code in two manners: having more than one tRNA (with a specific anti-codon) for a particular amino acid; and 'wobble' base-pairing, i.e. permitting non-standard base-pairing at the 3rd anti-codon position. The record is from RNAcentral. Lineage: Bacteria; Bacillati; Bacillota; Clostridia; Christensenellales; Christensenellaceae.
GCUCGGGUGGCGAAAUCGGCAGACGCAAGGGACUUAAAAUCCCUCGAGGGCAACCUCAUAUCGGUUCAAGUCCGAUCCCGAGCACCA